RNAcentral lists this ribosomal RNA (449 nucleotides) under uncultured bacterium. Its description in RNAcentral is "partial 16S ribosomal RNA". It matches the Rfam family "Bacterial small subunit ribosomal RNA", at positions 29 to 523 of the family's 1533-position model. The record is from RNAcentral.
AGUGAACGCUGGCGGCGUGCUUAACACAUGCAAGUCGAACGAGAUCUUCGGAUCUAGUGGCAGACGGGUGAGGAACACGUGGGAACAUCCCUUUCAGUUCGGAAUAACGUUGGGAAACUAACGCUAAUACCGGAUACGUCCUUCGGGAGAAAGAUUUAUCGCUGAAAGAUUGGCCCGCGUCUGAUUAGCUAGUUGGUGAGGUAAUGGCUCACCAAGGCUACGAUCAGUAGCUGAUCUGAGAGGAUGAUCAGCCACAUUGGGACUGAGACACGGCCCAAACUCCUACGGGAGGCAGCAGUGGGGAAUAUUGGACAAUGGGUGCAAGCCUGAUCCAGCCAUGCAGCGUAAGUGAUGAAGGCCUUCGGGUUGUAAAGCUCUUUUAUCCGGGAAGAUAAUGACUGUACCGGAAGAAUAAGCCCCGGCAAACUUCGUGCCAGCCGCCGCCGUAA